Molecule: long non-coding RNA, 573 nt
Filed under: Oryzias sinensis (Chinese medaka)
Lineage: Eukaryota; Metazoa; Chordata; Actinopteri; Beloniformes; Adrianichthyidae
Description: lncRNA (ENSOSIG00000014591.1)
Source: RNAcentral
GUGGAUUUUUGGUUCGUAAUCAAGUUUGUUUGAUUUGCAAUUUUAUACGUUUUUCCAACCUAGCGUGUUAGCGUCAAUCUUAGUCUUCUGUGUUCCUAUUGGAUGAAGAGAUUGUCAUGUCCAAUCAGAGGCGCUGACGUGUCUGGUGAAAAUGUCCCGAGGCUCUAGAGAAGAGGAGGACUAGUCCGAGGAAGAGGGAGGCUGAGCGACAACUUUGACUCAAAGUAGAAUAAGUGGAAGCAGAGUCUACUUUCUGUUUGUGACAACGUCAUACUUUGGACCAGAGAAGUCCAUCCAUUCUGGACCCUGUCGGCGGACCUCCAAGCUCCCCGGAUGACAGGAGGGCGCGUGCUCAUCCGGCGCCGCCUCGCCUCGUGUGAAGCCCGCCUUGGCAUGUGCCGUCCACUGAAGGUCGCGUGACACGGUCUUCAGGUGGAACCGCAGCAUCUGGACUCAGAAUCCUCUGUAAAGAACAUUUAGUGGGAAAGCAGCUGAUGGUGAAACAGGUUUGAAGUUUUCUUUUUGCUGCGUUUCUGUGCAGAUGGACCCGUCUGCGUUUCUGCGCAGAUGGAC